RNAcentral lists this ribosomal RNA (1403 nucleotides) under Bacillus sp. (in: firmicutes). RNAcentral describes it as "bacterial SSU rRNA". It matches the Rfam family "Bacterial small subunit ribosomal RNA". Lineage: Bacteria; Bacillati; Bacillota; Bacilli; Caryophanales; Bacillaceae. The record is from RNAcentral.
GGACCGACGGGAGCUUGCUCCCUUAGGUCAGCGGCGGACGGGUGAGUAACACGUGGGUAACCUGCCUGUAAGACUGGGAUAACUCCGGGAAACCGGGGCUAAUACCGGAUGCUUGAUUGAACCGCAUGGUUCAAUCAUAAAAGGUGGCUUUCAGCUACCACUUGCAGAUGGACCCGCGGCGCAUUAGCUAGUUGGUGAGGUAACGGCUCACCAAGGCGACGAUGCGUAGCCGACCUGAGAGGGUGAUCGGCCACACUGGGACUGAGACACGGCCCAGACUCCUACGGGAGGCAGCAGUAGGGAAUCUUCCGCAAUGGACGAAAGUCUGACGGAGCAACGCCGCGUGAGUGAUGAAGGUUUUCGGAUCGUAAAACUCUGUUGUUAGGGAAGAACAAGUACCGUUCGAAUAGGGCGGUACCUUGACGGUACCUAACCAGAAAGCCACGGCUAACUACGUGCCAGCAGCCGCGGUAAUACGUAGGUGGCAAGCGUUGUCCGGAAUUAUUGGGCGUAAAGCGCGCGCAGGCGGUUAUCUUAAGUCUGAUGUGAAAGCCCCCGGCUCAACCGGGGAGGGUCAUUGGAAACUGGGGAACUUGAGUGCAGAAGAGGAGAGUGGAAAUCCACGUGUAGCGGUGAAAUGCGUAGAGAUGUGGAGGAACACCAGUGGCGAAGGCGACUCUCUGGUCUGUAACUGACGCUGAGGCGCGAAAGCGUGGGGAGCGAACAGGAUUAGAUAUCCUGGUAGUACACGCCGUAAACGAUGAGUGCUAAGUGUUAGAGGGUUUCCGCCCUUUAGUGCUGCAGCAAACGCAUUUAAGCACUCCGCCCUGGGGAGUACGGUCGCAAGACUGAAACUCAAAGGAAUUGACGGGGGCCCGCACAAGCGGUGGAGCAUGUGGUUUAAUUCGAAGCAACGCGAAGAACCUUACCAGGUCUUGACAUCCUCUGACAACCCUAGAGAUAGGGCUUCCCCUUCGGGGGCAGAGUGACAGGUGGUGCAUGGUUUUUUGGUCAGCUCGUUCUGAGAUGUUGGGUUAAGUCCCGCAACGAGCGCAACCCUUGAUCUUAGUUGCCAGCAUUCAGUUGGGCACUCUAAGGUGACUGCCGGUGACAAACCGGAGGAAGGUGGGGAUGACGUCAAAUCAUCAUGCCCCUUAUGACCUGGGCUACACACGUGCUACAAUGGGCAGAACAAAGGGCAGCGAAGCCGCGAGGCUAAGCCAAUCCCACAAAUCUGUUCUCAGUUCGGAUCGCAGUCUGCAACUCGACUGCGUGAAGCUGGAAUCGCUAGUAAUCGCGGAUCAGCAUGCCGCGGUGAAUACGUUCCCGGGCCUUGUACACACCGCCCGUCACACCACGAGAGUUUGUAACACCCGAAGUCGGUGAGGUAACCUUGAGCCAGC